Long non-coding RNA from Zea mays, 344 nucleotides. RefSeq lists it as uncharacterized. The transcript has 3 exons. NCBI's taxonomy places the organism in Eukaryota, Viridiplantae, Streptophyta, Magnoliopsida, Poales, Poaceae. The record is from RefSeq and is a predicted model, not a curated record.
UUGUUCCUACUUAUAGUUACCUAAUUUCAGGAUGCUAAGGUAACAAUGCUUGGACUGGUACCCAGCAUCGUUCGUACUUGGAAGAAUACGGACUGUACAGCUGGACUAGACUGGUCCUCCAUCCGAUGCAGUUGAAGACCCAAGAUUUGAACGACGCUAUUGUCACACCGAAAGUGUGUUCGAUGAAAUGCCUCCAAAAUCCGGAGGUUUCUAUUUGUGAAAGUUUGCAGGCUAAGGAGUGUUCCUACUUCCUCCUGUAUACACAGUUUAUUCCUGCAUUUUUUGGGGUGAUUAAUUCCUUUUUCAAGGAACGUGGAUGCGGGCGAUAAAUUGAAGCUGUGUGU